This 312-nucleotide long non-coding RNA is filed under the name Cyanistes caeruleus (blue tit). Its description in RNAcentral is "lncRNA (ENSCCEG00000007807.1)". Lineage: Eukaryota; Metazoa; Chordata; Aves; Passeriformes; Paridae. The record is from RNAcentral.
AUGUUUGCUGUGGCUUUCAGCAUUGGACUGGAUCUCUCAGACAACAGAGUUUUCUGGAGAUGCAAUAAAGGAAAUGGACAUUGGUUUUUUGAGCCAGAGGUGACACUCUCUAUUCAGGUAGGAAAAUUCAGAUUUUGCUGCGGUUCCUCACUUGUGUCACACCACGAACGUGCCACAGUCUGUGUCAAAUGGGGAGAAGCAUUGACAUGGCAGCUUCAUCUUCUCCUGGAGUGCUUGGGUACGCUUGGGAAAGGCUUUAUUAUUAUUUUUAUUCCUGCUUUAAUGUGGGAACAGAAAUAAAGGGAAAAUAGG